GACGAACGCUGGCGGCGUGCUUAACACAUGCAAGUCGAACGGUAAGGCCCCAGCUUGCUGGGGUACACGAGUGGCGAACGGGUGAGUAACACGUGGGUGACCUGCCCCGCACUUCGGGAUAAGCCUGGGAAACUGGGUCUAAUACCGGAUAGGACCGCACCGUGAGGGUGUGGUGGAAAGUUUUUCGGUGUGGGAUGGGCCCGCGGCCUAUCAGCUUGUUGGUGGGGUAAUGGCCUACCAAGGCGGCGACGGGUAGCCGGCCUGAGAGGGUGGACGGCCACAUUGGGACUGAGACACGGCCCAGACUCCUACGGGAGGCAGCAGUGGGGAAUAUUGCACAAUGGGCGGAGGCCUGAUGCAGCGACGCCGCGUGGGGGAUGACGGCCUUCGGGUUGUAAACUCCUUUCACCAUCGACGAAGGUUUUCUGACGGUAGAUGGAGAAGAAGCACCGGCUAACUACGUG
RNAcentral lists this ribosomal RNA (464 nucleotides) under uncultured bacterium. RNAcentral's name for it is "partial 16S ribosomal RNA". It matches the Rfam family "Bacterial small subunit ribosomal RNA", at positions 28 to 507 of the family's 1533-position model. The record is from RNAcentral.